This 904-nucleotide ribosomal RNA is filed under the name uncultured Alloprevotella sp. Its description in RNAcentral is "bacterial SSU rRNA". It matches the Rfam family "Bacterial small subunit ribosomal RNA", at positions 27 to 927 of the family's 1533-position model. The record is from RNAcentral. Lineage: Bacteria; Pseudomonadati; Bacteroidota; Bacteroidia; Bacteroidales; Prevotellaceae.
GGAUGAACGCUAGCUACAGGCUUAACACAUGCAAGUCGAGGGGCAGCAUGGAAGAAGCUUGCUUCUUCUGAUGGCGACCGGCGCACGGGUGCGUAACGCGUAUCAAACCUGCCUCAUACUCGGGGAUAGCCUUGCGAAAGUAAGAUUAAUACCCGAUGUUGUUAUGUUGCCGCAUGGUGAUAUAACCAAAGAUUUAUCGGUAUGAGAUGGUGAUGCGUCCGAUUAGGUAGUAGGCGGGGUAACGGCCCACCUAGCCUUCGAUCGGUAGGGGUUCUGAGAGGAAGGUCCCCCACACUGGAACUGAGACACGGUCCAGACUCCUACGGGAGGCAGCAGUGAGGAAUAUUGGUCAAUGGACGGAAGUCUGAACCAGCCAAGUAGCGUGCAGGAUGACGGCCCUCUGGGUUGUAAACUGCUUUUAGUUGGGAAUAAAAAAGAGGACGUGUCCUCUAUUGUAUGUACCUCAGAAAAAGGACCGGCUAAUUCCGUGCCAGCAGCCGCGGUAAUACGGAAGGUCCAGGCGUUAUCCGGAUUUAUUGGGUUUAAAGGGAGCGUAGGCGGAUUAUUAAGUCAGUGGUGAAAGACGGUGGCUCAACCAUCGUUAGCCAUUGAAACUGGUAGUCUUGAGUGCAGACAGGGAUGCUGGAACUCGUGGUGUAGCGGUGAAAUGCUUAGAUAUCACGAUGAACUCCGAUCGCGAAGGCAGGUGUCCGGGCUGCAACUGACGCUGAGGCUCGAAAGUGUGGGUAUCAAACAGGAUUAGAUACCCUGGUAGUCCACACAGUAAACGAUGUAUACUCGCGGUUUGCGAUAGACAGUAAGCCGCCAAGCGAAAGCAUUAAGUAUACCACCUGGGGAGUACGCCGGCACGGUGAAACUCAAGGAAUUGACGGGGGCCCGCACA